UACGGGGGGGGCAAGCGUUGUUCGGAAUUACUGGGCGUAAAGGGUGCGUAGGUGGUUGGGUAAGUUUGAUGUGAAAGCUCAGGGCUUAACCCUGAAAUGGCAUUGAAUACUACUUAACUGGAGGUUUGGAGGGGGGACUGGAAUUCUUGGUGUAGCAGUGAAAUGCGUAGAUAUCAAGAGGAACACCAGUGGCGAAGGCGAGUCCCUGGACAACACCUGACACUGAGGCACGAAAGCUAGGGGAGCAAACAGG
RNAcentral lists this ribosomal RNA (253 nucleotides) under uncultured bacterium. Its description in RNAcentral is "partial 16S ribosomal RNA". It matches the Rfam family "Bacterial small subunit ribosomal RNA", at positions 524 to 776 of the family's 1533-position model. The record is from RNAcentral.